ACUCCGCCCUUGUUCCUCAGUUGACCGAUUUAUUUCAAGAUCCCAAAGCGGUUUUUAGGUCCGGGUGGAGGGUCACAGCAGGCGCUCCUACACGUGUUAACACUCGGUAAACUCGACCUGAGAGGAUCAUAUUCACCCACAAAGUUAUCUGUAACUCCAAAUUAUUUCAACAGCACAGGCUUUAGGCGUAAGUUCGACUUCUCCAGUAACUUCAACCCUGGGAGGAAAUGAAUUUAUGGAUCCGAGAGUGCCGCUCAAACUGCAAGUUGUAGAGUCUUCACUACUUGCUUAUUAACUGUUCAGAUCAAUGGACUGGAGAUUUGAAACAUAGCGUUUGAGUUGAACUUCUCCUUUAAGCUGAAAACAUGAAGUUGUAGGCCUAUAAAGCGUUGACUGUUCACCCAUGAAACAGAGCGAAUUUCAGCCUCUCAGCUUAGUUUGAAGUGCUUUAACCAGAGCAGUUAGGUGUAAACUUUAUACUCCAUGAGUAUAUCGAAGACACCAGUUUAAUAUGAGCGAGAAACAAGCGUUAGGAGACACUAAACUUCACGAGGAUCAAACUAAAGCGGACUUGGAGAACAAUGUCAAGCUGGAGGCGGGUGACGCGGCGCAGCGCGCCGACUAUCAGGGUGAGCAGGACGGUCACGAAGCGCCGCAACCUACCCGCCUGUACAAACGCCGCUGGAUGAUUGUCCUCCUGUUCAGCUCUUAUUCACUGUGCAACUCCUUCCAAUGGAUACAAUACGGGAUCAUCAACAACAUUUUCAUGAAGUUCUACAACGUGGACACCUUCACCAUAGACUGGAUGUCUAUGAUCUACAUGCUGACAUACAUUCCCUUCAUCUUCCCUGUGACCUGGCUGCUGGACAAGAAGGGGCUCCGGGUCAUCGCGCUGGUAGCCACUGCGCUUAACUGCGCCGGGACAUGGAUCAAAGUGGCCAGCGUCAGACCCAACCUGUUCGCCGUCACCUUUCUGGGGCAGUUCUCCUGCUCGUUGGCGCAGGUGUUCAUCCUCGGGAUGCCGUCGAGAAUCGCGUCGGUGUGGUUCGGUUCAGAGGAAGUGUCCACGGCCUGCUCCAUCGGAGUCUUCGGGAAUCAGCUGGGCAUCGCCAUUGGCUUCCUGGUGCCUCCCAUCCUGGUGCCUAAUGUGGACGACAUGGAUGAGCUGGCUCACCACAUCAGCGUCAUGUUCUACAUCACAGCAGGAGUGGCUACCUUACUCUUUAUCCUUGUUGUCUUUGUCUUCCAGGAGCGUCCUAAGCUUCCUCCGACUCAGGCCCAGGCCACAGCUCGCAGCAUCCCACCAGAGCAGUACUCGUACACCGCCUCCAUCCGCAGGCUGCUCCGCAACAGGCCCUUCAUCCUCCUCAUCGUCACUUACGGUCUGAACGUAGGUUGUUUCUAUGCUGUUGGCACCCUGCUGAACCGCAUGAUCAUCGACCAUUACCCUGGAGAAGAGGUGAAUGCUGGGAGGAUCGGCCUUACCAUCGUCAUAGCGGGCAUGGUCGGCUCCCUGAUCUGUGGCGUCUGGUUGGACAGAACUAAAACUUACAAGCAGACUACCCUCGCGGUCUACUUCAUGUCUCUGGUGGGGAUGAUCGUCUAUGCUGCUACACUCAGUUUGGGACACCUCUGGGUGGUCUUCAUCACCGCCGGAGCUCUCGGGUUCUUCAUGACGGGCUACCUGCCGCUUGGCUUUGAGUUUGCAGUCGAGCUGACGUACCCGGAGUCAGAGGGAACCUCCUCCGGACUCCUCAACUGUUCAGCACAAGUGUUUGGCAUUAUAUUCACCAUCUGCCAGGGGAAGAUCAUCGAUAACUUUGGCACGCUGGCAGGAAACAUCUUCCUCUGCGUCUUUCUUCUAAUUGGCACAAUAAUGACAGGCUUAAUCAAGUCUGAUCUGCGGAGACAAAAUGCGAACCUGUUGGCCAAAGCAGCAGCGGAGAGGCAGAUGUUGGGACAAGACUACGGAGCCACAGCGCUAAUCUCCGAGCCGCAGACUCCUCCUUCUCAAGCCUGAUCAAUAAACCUUUCUGCUUCCACAAAAAAAAAAAAAAAAAUCUCAAAUCUUAGCUCAACACACAGAUGCACAAAGGGACCUUCUGACUGCCACGAUGUGAACCUGGCUGCAGCUUCUUUCGUCAAAGAAGCCCAGCUUUAGACACACACACUAACAAAAAAAAAAAAGCCUAGAAAGUGACAAUGAUCUCCUUCCUGUUGCAG
Molecule: RNA transcript, 2223 nt
Organism: Seriola dumerili (greater amberjack)
Lineage: Eukaryota; Metazoa; Chordata; Actinopteri; Carangiformes; Carangidae
Gene: flvcr2b
Gene name: feline leukemia virus subgroup C receptor-related protein 2-like
Exons: 11
Source: RefSeq, a predicted model, not a curated record